RNAcentral lists this ribosomal RNA (253 nucleotides) under uncultured bacterium. RNAcentral describes it as "partial 16S ribosomal RNA". It matches the Rfam family "Bacterial small subunit ribosomal RNA", at positions 524 to 776 of the family's 1533-position model. The record is from RNAcentral.
UACGUAGGUGGCAAGCGUUGUCCGGAUUUACUGGGCGUAAAGAGCGCGCAGGCGGUCGUUCAAGUCGCGUGUGAAAGCCCCCGGCUCAACUGGGGAGGGUCACGCGAUACUGAUCGACUCGAAGGCAGGAGAGGGUAGUGGAAUUCCCGGUGUAGUGGUGAAAUGCGUAGAGAUCGGGUGGAACACCAGUGGCGAAGGCGGCAUCCUGGCCCUGACCUGACGCUGAGGCGCGAGAGCGUGGGGAGCAAACGGG